This 549-nucleotide ribosomal RNA is filed under the name uncultured bacterium. RNAcentral's name for it is "bacterial SSU rRNA". It matches the Rfam family "Bacterial small subunit ribosomal RNA", at positions 356 to 896 of the family's 1533-position model. The record is from RNAcentral.
AGGGAAUCUUCCGCAAUGGGCGAAAGCCUGACGGAGCAACGCCGCGUGAGUGAUGAAGGUCUUCGGAUCGUAAAACUCUGUUAUUAGGGAAGAACAAACGUGUAAGUAACUGUGCACGUCUUGACGGUACCUAAUCAGAAAGCCACGGCUAACUACGUGCCAGCAGCCGCGGUAAUACGUAGGUGGCAAGCGUUAUCCGGAAUUAUUGGGCGUAAAGCGCGCGUAGGCGGUUUUUUAAGUCUGAUGUGAAAGCCCACGGCUCAACCGUGGAGGGCCAUUGGAAACUGGAAAACUUGAGUGCAGAAGAGGAAAGUGGAAUUCCAUGUGUAGCGGUGAAAUGCGCAGAGAUAUGGAGGAACACCAGUGGCGAAGGCGACUUUCUGGUCUGUAACUGACGCUGAUGUGCGAAAGCGUGGGGAUCAAACAGGAUUAGAUACCCUGGUAGUCCACGCCGUAAACGAUGAGUGCUAAGUGUUAGGGGGUUUCCGCCCCUUAGUGCUGCAGCUAACGCAUUAAGCACUCCGCCUGGGGAGUACGACCGCAAGGUUG